CUUCUUGUCAGCGGUCAGCUCCCCAGCUGCUGAUGUCAUCCCACAUGCCACCCUGAUCCUAAAGAUCACAUUCCCUCUACUCCACGUC
Long non-coding RNA from Octopus sinensis (East Asian common octopus), 88 nucleotides. RefSeq lists it as uncharacterized. NCBI's taxonomy places the organism in Eukaryota, Metazoa, Mollusca, Cephalopoda, Octopoda, Octopodidae. The record is from RefSeq and is a predicted model, not a curated record. The transcript has 3 exons.